CAACUGGUAUAUCGAACAUGGCAGCUACACCUGAGACAAGUUGGAGUUGAAGCUCGGCCAGAUUUGGUUCAGAGCAUCCCAAAAGGUGGCACCGGUGGGAGCCCUAGCAAAGAAAGUGACAAAAAGAAGGAUCCAGAUGACCAACCUAAAGAUAAUGGAGGCAACCCUGAAAGUACAUCUGAAGAAAGCCAGUUACCUCCUAGUUCAGAAAUUCACAGCCUUGAUGAUCAGCUCCUUAGCGAUGCAAAAAUAUGUUCCAUGGGUCAUAAAGAUGCAAUUAUUUUGAUGCAGUCUCAAUACACUGUAGUCAAUAGAAUCCUUCAAUC
RNAcentral lists this long non-coding RNA (326 nucleotides) under Gossypium raimondii (Peruvian cotton). RNAcentral's name for it is "long non-coding RNA (GRAI_LNC006783)". The record is from RNAcentral. Lineage: Eukaryota; Viridiplantae; Streptophyta; Magnoliopsida; Malvales; Malvaceae.